This is a small nucleolar RNA of Caenorhabditis elegans, 133 nucleotides long. NCBI's taxonomy places the organism in Eukaryota, Metazoa, Nematoda, Chromadorea, Rhabditida, Rhabditidae. The record is from Ensembl.
UUUUCCAAUGAUUUCGAACCAGUUUUGGCAAAAAAAAAAUUGGAAAUCUUUCAAUUUUGACCGAAAAUUUUCUUUUUAUUCAAGGAAAUUCAAAAUUUCAAAAUUUUUCAGCCUAAAAUUUUGGGCUGAAAAA